GGGAAUCUUAAACUUAGUUGAAUAGUCGUUAUAAGAUCCAGUCCGGAGGAGCUGUAGCGGUGAAUUUAAAGUUCGGAAUAAACAUGUAGAGGCUGAUCGGCUUUGCGUUUCGGACGGGAGUUCGAUUCUCCCCGCCUCCACAC
RNAcentral lists this transfer-messenger RNA (143 nucleotides) under Fidelibacterota bacterium. Its description in RNAcentral is "partial transfer-messenger RNA". It matches the Rfam family "transfer-messenger RNA", at positions 227 to 374 of the family's 374-position model. From Rfam's summary of the family: Bacterial tmRNA, also known as 10Sa RNA or SsrA, is named for its dual tRNA and mRNA-like properties. Its role is to liberate the mRNA from a stalled ribosome. To accomplish this part of the tmRNA is used as a reading frame that ends in a translation stop signal. The record is from RNAcentral. Lineage: Bacteria; Pseudomonadati; Fidelibacterota.